UACAGAGGUCUCAAGCGUUGUUCGGAUUCAUUGGGCGUAAAGGGCGCGUAGGCGGCGGGGUAAGUCUGGUGUGAAAUCUCGGAGCUCAACUCCGAAAUUGCACUGGAUACUGCUCUGCUAGAGGGCUGGAGAGGAGAUCGGAAUUCACGGUGUAGCAGUGAAAUGCGUAGAUAUCGUAAGGAAGACCAGUGGCGAAGGCGGGUCUCUGGACAGUUCCUGACGCUGAGGCACGAAGGCCAGGGGAGCAAACGGG
Molecule: ribosomal RNA, 253 nt
Filed under: uncultured bacterium
Lineage: Bacteria
Description: partial 16S ribosomal RNA
Rfam family: Bacterial small subunit ribosomal RNA
Source: RNAcentral